UUCCAAGGAGAACUGGAUUACAUUCCUCCCACACAGGCUGGAGGGAGAUGGAGUUCAUUGCUCCGGGGAGAGAAUUAUGACAACACUUAACCGCUGUGACCCGUACUGCUCUGCGCUGCUCCCAGCCUCUCCAUGCCAUUGGCCAUUAGAAGUGCGGCUUCCACGGAGAGGCGAGUGCCGACCCUGUGAGAUGCGUGGCAUGUGUUUGGAAGGCGGCCUGCAUUCCAGGAGAGCAUUGGUUCUGGAGUUAUGUCACAGACCCUUCUGCCAAGGGAAAUAAGGUCGUUUUAUGCUUUUGAACUGAAUGAAUGAGAAAGUUAAGAAGUGUGCUUGGGAUUUGAUUCUCAUCACCCCAUGGAAUGAAGCCAAGCUGCAGAAGCACACAAAUGGCUGAAUUUGGAUAACUUUAUCCCAGGAGAAGGUAGCAAAAGGUCUUUUGGUGAAUGCAGUGCAAAAGCUGACUAAAUAAAUACAGUGGAAGUGACCUCUGAGUCUAGGCCUUACGAGACCAGACAGCUUGGACCCCUGAGCCUACCAGGCUCCGAGGAAGCCCCGUCCAGUGCACCAAAGGGUAAGAGCUCGUGUGGAGGAGAACCCAGGCACUUCAGUCAGCCAGCCAGCACCCAAUUCCAGACACACAAAUGAGGUCAUUUGAGACUCUCCAGUCCCAGGAGACCUAUCAUGUGACAGCAGGUACAGGAGUGAGCCCCUGCAAGAUCAGCAGAAGAAUCAUGAGAAAUAAUAAGUUGCUGUGUGAAGCUACUGAGGGGUUGGGUGUUUUAUUAAGCUCAAGGUAUAAGGACGACGGCUGCUGGAUACCUUGAUUUUCUUUGGCGAAGUCUCCUCUGCUCAGAUUGGUCUUGUUGGGGCAGACAUUCAUUGUCACCACCAUUCUAGCCAGUCACCUAGUGCAUUCUCCUGCAGGGUGGAAGUCAUCCAUUCAGGGACAUCCAGAUGGGACAAGCUGGCCCAGUGUGCAAUGUGAUUUGUCGUGCCAAUGAUGCAGAAGAAGCUCCCCCUCCCCCUCCCGCUUUAGUAUCUCAAGUUGUAAAGGCUACAACAUUUUCAGGCCAAGUUCAACUUCCAACUAUACAGAAAAUUAGGACCGAAAGAUGCAACAAGAGCAACCGAACCCUGGAGACAGCAUUUGAGCUUUCAGAAAUAGUCAAACUAGAAUCCGAUAACCCCACAGACUGCCCCGUCACGUAGCAAAUGCAUUCUUCUUUGAUUUAAGUGGAAGGAAAUGGAAUUGAGCAUCUGUUUCUUACCCAAUAAAUAAAGUAGCCACACCCUGUCUCCUGGAGCAGCUCUUUGCUCUUGGAUAAACCUGCCUUCUUUUCUUCUUUGGCCUUGCC
This is a non-coding RNA of Marmota flaviventris (yellow-bellied marmot), 1355 nucleotides long. The record is from RefSeq and is a predicted model, not a curated record. Lineage: Eukaryota; Metazoa; Chordata; Mammalia; Rodentia; Sciuridae.